RNAcentral lists this ribosomal RNA (389 nucleotides) under uncultured bacterium. RNAcentral describes it as "bacterial SSU rRNA". It matches the Rfam family "Bacterial small subunit ribosomal RNA", at positions 28 to 417 of the family's 1533-position model. The record is from RNAcentral.
GACGAACGCUGGCGGCGUGCUUAACACAUGCAAGUCGAGCGGUAAGGCCCUUUCGGGGGUACACGAGCGGCGAACGGGUGAGUAACACGUGGGUGACCUGCCCUCAGCUCUGGGAUAAGCCUGGGAAACCGGGUCUAAUACUGGAUAUGACUCCAUGACGCAUGUUGUGGGGUGGAAAGCCUUGUGCGGCUGAGGAUGGGCCCGCGGCCUAUCAGCUUGUUGGUGGGGUGANGGCCUACCAAGGCGACGACGGGUAGCCGGCCUGAGAGGGCGACCGGCCACACUGGGACUGAGACACGGCCCAGACUCCUACGGGAGGCAGCAGUGGGAAUCUUGCGCAAUGGGGCGAAAGCCUGACGGCAGCGACGCCGCGUGAGGGAUGACGGCCU